Molecule: long non-coding RNA, 8766 nt
Filed under: Lactuca sativa (garden lettuce)
Lineage: Eukaryota; Viridiplantae; Streptophyta; Magnoliopsida; Asterales; Asteraceae
Description: long non-coding RNA (LSAT_LNC000250)
Source: RNAcentral
UAAAUCUAUUUAUACUAAGCAAUGUGAGAUAUUCAAACUUCAACGUACAUUUAUGUAUGCAUUUCACUGCACCUAAACUACUAGCUAUAGUUAGACCAGCAGGUCUGGGGUGACAAAUGUCAUAACACUACAACACCUGAAGAAUGUUGUUACAGGUCGUCAGUGUCAAUAGCAUGGUUAUAAAACUCACAUAAAAAGUAUAAAAACAAGUUUGAUUUACGAGAUUCAUAUAUGCAUUACAGUUUUCUACAUUAUUUUUCAUACAAAGUUAUCUUUAUCAUUCAAGUACGAAAAAUACUAACACAUUCCAACUCUGGAAACUUUUCGAGUCAUUUAUAGAAAAUAUUGGAUUUUCUGAAAACCUCGUUUACCGAUUUGCUACCAAAAAGGAUAUACUUUUCAACUCAAAACACUCCUGAACUCACCAACUUAAUUGUUGACACUCUUUCAAAACCACUUGUAUUUCUCAGGGAAUCAUUAAUACAGGUAACUAUCAGCUUUGAAGAAGGAACGCUAAGGACGUUUCAUUUUUGAACAUUUAUCAUCAUAUUGUAAUAUUCUUUUGCUAAUAUGUAUAACGCAACAAGAUACGUUUUCAUUAUAUAUAUGAUGGUUGUGCUACUUUCUUUACAAUAUUCAAUUGUUGUGAUACUACGUGAAGUCAUCCACCCUCGAAUGUUUCCGCCAUUCUGGUUUGGGGGUGUGACAGAUUGGUAUUAGAGCAUUGUUUAUAGUGAACUAAGUAUAUCAAACCACAUAAGAUAUACAAACUAUAAAUGCAAAGGGGACCAAAAACCCUCUGACAAAAUGUUUUCAUAAACAAUAUACAUACAUUUUACUCGCAUGCAUCAGUCUCGUAUCAUGACAAGUUUUCUAAAUAAAGUAUUAAGGCAAGUUGCGACACUAUGAUUGGCCUUGAGGUAUGUAAUCAAAUCAAGAAUAAAUAUAGCCUGAUCAACUAUAUUUAUCCUAGGUUUGACCAGCGUACGUCGAAGAAUGGUCGUAGUGGACAACAAGCCAAGAACUUACCAAAUACAAAUUAUUUUAGAUUCGCCAAAUUGAAAUACUAUAGGAGUAUUGCAUAAAUAAUUGUACAAUGAAAAACUUGCGCUGCGUAAGGAUAUAGUUAAACAUAGGAUGUCAUUAAAUAGAAAUUUCUGUUCUUAUAAAAUUCUCAUACCUCUAUCCUAGUACAGACAAAUGGCUGGAUUCCAUUUACCCGGAGAUCCCUACUACCCAAACCAAGGCAACGACAGGUGGAUAGAAGAAGACCCGGAGGAAGACCCAGAGGAAAUCGAAGAAGAGGUCGAAGAAGAGUUCGAGGAGGGAGUCAAAGAAGAAUUCGAAAUCGAAGUCGGAGAAGAAUUCGAAGUCGACGAGGAGAUCGUGGAAGUUUCUAGCGGAACAGACUCCGAACCAGAAGUAAUCGACCCUCCCAUCCCUCAUCCUCCCGAAAUUAGACCAUAUCAACCGGGACCCAUUCCUUUGUGGGGAAGCCACCUUUACUACUGGAGCCGCCAGCAAGGUGUACGCCCUCCCUUCGGCAUGUGUCAGGAUUUUUACAAUGUCAGUGGGGGAGGCUCAGCUGAUUGAGCACUUCCUGUUAUUGUGAACGCUAUAGCUACCCAGAACUACCAGGCGGACCAGCAAGCAGCCAGAGUUGCGAGGUCAAUGCUGCUACUCAAGGUAACGCCGCAGACAUCCGCCGUUUGGAAGGACUACAUGAGAAUACCCAAAUCUACACGGGGACGCUUCAGAACCAAAUGAUAACGACACUAGCAGAAAUAAGAGAGAUGAAGGAACAACAAGCAGAUCUCGAGAGACGCCUGAUGGGAGUCAAACAGUCGGAUGCCGAAUCUAGCUCCAAACGUGCAACACGCCGCAAAUAGAGCUUGUUCAAGCCCCAACAAUUUUGUUAUAAAAUAGGAUUUCGGAUAAAAGUUUUUCCCUUAUUUCCUUUUGUAUCUGUAAUCGGAGACCUCUAGGUAGGUCAAAUUUUCCAAACAAGAAACGUAAUGUAACACACCUCGGGUGUGACCAAUAUAUAUUAAUAUGAAGUACUUCUUUAUAAUACUUCUCGAAACUUAUGGGUUUAACUAAAAUUACUAUACUUACCUUGGAACCAUAAACUAAAGUCAAAACAAAUUACAAAUUACAACUAACACACGAUUGUNAAAACAUUAGAAACUUAUAGUAUUCAUUCUUAUUUUCUCUACCAGAACAUGCCUCCUCGUAGAUCAACACGCAGAAACUCAACUUCAACACCACCUCCACCACCUCCUCCAAUUAUGGAUGCCGUUAUGUUCCAGACUGCUGUAACCGCUGAUGUAACCGCAGCAAUGGCUCAAAUGAGCAACAACGGAUUGGGAGGAGGAACAAACAGCUUUACAAAUGGCUAAGGUCAAGGCCGUUCGGGGGUAUGCACUUACAAAGACUUCACCAACGGAAAACCUAUUUCCUUUUAUGGAACUGGGGGAGUAUUGGCUCUAUCUCAAUGGAUAGAGAAAACGAAAGCUGUAUUCGAAAUUUGCGCAUGCCCUGAAGAGAGCAAAGUAAAGUUUGCUGCUUGUACUUUCUCUAAACGCGCCCUGACAUGGUGGAACGACCACGUCAAGACACUAACCCUAGUGGUGGCGAACUCCAUGGGUUGGGAAAACUUGAAACGAAUGCUCCUUCGAGAAUACUGCCCAAGAGGCGAGAUUCAGAAGCUUGAACAGGAACUGUGGAGUCUUUCGAUGGUAGGCUCAGACAUAGCAGGUUACACCAACAGGUUCAGUGAUUUGAUAACACUUUGCCCAGGAAUACUCACCCUGGAAAGCCAAAGAGUCGAGAGAUACAUUUGGGGACUAUCACCCCAACUUCGAGGAAGUGUGUUAGCUUCCAAACCCAUGACCUUCGACAGCGCCAAGGAACUGGCGCAAUCUCUCAUUGAUCAUGGUGUCUGUCAAGGAGUCACGGAUAUCAUGGUUGAACCAACCAAAGGAAACAACAACAAUGAGAUCAAUGCCAACAACAACAAGAAGAAGAAAUUUUGGAACAAGAGAAAGGGGCAAACUUCGCAACAACCUUCAAAGAAACAAAUAGUUGCGGUUCAUGCUGCUACUUCUCCCACCACAACUCCUGCUACCCCUGCGCCAACAAAACAAUAUGCUAGGAAUCUGCCCAAGUGCAGCAAGUGCAACUACCAUCACCACGGUAUUUGCCGCGAGAUGCACUGCAAGAACUGUGACAGGAAAGGGCACACAGCCCGUUUCUGUAAAGCACCGGCACGACCAAUCACUCAAGUUCCUGGUACUGGAGUAAGCCAGGCGUGUUAUGGGUGCGGAGAAACAGGACACUUUAGGAGGAAUUGUCCCAAGGAAAGGAAUGCUGGCGGUGUGGGGAGAAUGCUGGAAAUAGGACAUAAUGAAGCGAUAGCAGACCCCACGGUGGUUACGGGUACGUUUCUACUCGACAACAUUUAUGCAUGCAUACUCUUUGACUACGGUGUGGAGAGAAGUUUUGUGAGUCAUAAAUUUAAACACCUACUUAGUCAAAAACCCCAACCACUCAAUAAAAUAUUCACUGUAGAAAUGGCAAAUGGUAAAACAGAAAACGCAAGUGACUUGUACGUAGGAUGCACACUAAAUUUAAACGAGCACUUGUUUCGAGUCGAUCUUAUGCCCAUUUCCAUAAGAAGUUCCGAUGUCAUCAUCGGUAUGGACUAGUUGAGCCUGCACCAUGCCGAUAUACUUUGUCACGAAAGGGUCGUUCGCCUAAAUCUGCCAAACGGCGAAACUCUUGUCAUUUAUGGCGACACACCAAGUUCAAAUUUACAAAUCAUUUCCUGUAUUAAAGCACAAAAAUAUCUUCGCAAAGAAUAUCAUGCCUUUCUAGCCCACGUAGUAGACAAGAAACAAGAAUCGAAAAACAUUAAAGACAUUCCGGAAGUCUGUAAUUUCCCAGACAUCUUCCCAGAAGAUCUUCCAGGAAUCCCACCGGAAUGUCAAGUCGAGUUCAGAAUCGAAUUAAUCCCCGGAGCUACUCCAGUAGCAAAGUCUCCUUACCGUUUAGCCCCAGCCGAGAUGUAGGAACUAUCCAGUCAAUUAAACGAGCUGUUGAGCAAGGGAUUCAUCAGACCGAGCUUCUCACCAUGGGGAGAACCAUUCCUAUUCGUGAAAAAGAUGGACGGAUCCUUUCGCAUGUGCAUCGAUUAUCGGGAACUAAACAAACUCACGAUCAAGAACCAAUAUCCCUUACCACGCAUAGACGAUCUAUUCGACCAACUACAGGGAGUAAGCUACUUCUCAAAGAUCGAUCUAAGAUCUGGUUAUCACCAACUGUGAGUACAGGAAGGAGACAUCCCCAAAACGGCUUUCCGAACACGUUAUGGUCACUACGAGUUUGUAGUAAUGCCCUUCGGAUUGACAAAUGCACCAGCAGUGUUCAUGGACUUGAUGAACCGAGUAUGUCGUCCCUUCCUGGAUAAAUUCGUGAUCGUGUUCAUAGAUGAUAUACUCAUCUAUUCUAGAAGCCAGGAAGAACACAGCCAACACCUCCGCCAAGUCUUGGAAACAUUGAGGGCAGAGAAGCUUUACGCAAAAUUUUCCAAGUGCGAAUUUUGGAUUCGGGAACUGGAUUUCCUAGGACAUGUUGUAAGCAAAGAAGGAAUACACAUGGACCCUUCCAAGAUAAAGGCAAUAGAUAGUUGGACUACUCCAAGGAUCCCUACAGAAAUCUGGUAAUUUUUGGGACUUGCCGGGUAUUACCAAAGAUUCAUACCGAACUUUUCAAAGAUUCCCAAACCACUUACCACCCUAACUCAGAGGAAUGUGACCUUCGACUGGGGAGAAAAACAAGACAGCGCAUUUCAGACACUAAAGCGAGCUUUAUGUAGUGCACCCAUCCUAACCUUGCCAGAAGGAACGGAGGACUUCGUAGUCUAUUGCGAUGCAUCAAACCAAGGACUUGGAUGUGUCCUGAUGCAACGGGGGAAGGUCAUCGCCUAUGCUUUAAGGCAACUAAAGACGCACGAAGUGAACUACACAACGCACGAUCUUGAACUAGGAGAAGUCGUCUUCGCUCUAAAGAUAUGGAGGCACUACCUCUACGGCACAAAAUGUAUGAUUUUCACCGACCAUAAAAGCCUCCAACAUAUCCUCAACCAGAAGGAACUCAACAUGAGACAGAGGCGAUGGGUAGAACUACUUAGUGAUUAUGAAUGCGAAAUUCGAUAUCACCCCAGAAAGGCUAAUGUAGUGGCUGAUGCACUCAGUCGGAAGGAAUACUCGGGCCGCCGAGUAAAGGCCCUAACUAUGACGAUCCAUUCUCGUCUGUCCACACAAAUCAAGGAAGCCCAAAUAGAAGCCUUGAAAUCCGAAAAUGUGACAAGAGAAGCCCUAAGGGGAAUGGAUAAGAACCUGGAGAUCAAGAGUGACGAAGUUCGUUAUUUCAUGAACCGAAUCUGGACACCGAAGUUUGGUGGAUUCAGAGAAAUCAUCAUGGACGAAGCCCAUAAGACACGAUACUCCAUACAUCCCGGCUCCGAUAAGAUGUAUCUCGACCUCAAGAAGUUGUACGGGUGGCCGAACAUGAAAGCCGAAAUUGCUACCUACGUGAGCAAAUGCCUGACAUGUGCCAAAGUCAAGGUGGAAUACCAAAAGCCUUCGGGUUUAUUACAACAACCAGAAAUACCCGAAUGGAAGUGGGAGCGGAUAACCAUGGAUUUCAUAACAAAAUUACCCAAGACAACAAGCGGACUCGACACCAUUUGGGUAAUUGUCGACAGGUUAACUAAGUCAGCGCAUUUCCUACCGAUCAAAGAGACGGAUAAAUUGGAGAAGUUAACAAGGACAUACCUCAGAGAAAUUGUACGACUGCAUGGUGUGCCCAUAUCCAUUAUCUCGGACCGAGAUAGUAGAUUCACCUCAAGGUUCUGGCAGUCGCUACAAAAAGCUUUGGGGACAAGACUAGACAUGAGUACCGCUUAUCACCCACAAACCGACGGCCAGAGCGAGAGAACUAUACAAACCCUAGAAGACAUGCUGAGAGCUUGCGUAAUCGAUUUUGGCAAAGCAUGGGACACACAUCUACCAUUGGUCGAGUUCUCGUACAACAAUAGCUACCACACCAGUAUCAAGGCUGCCCCGUUCGAAGCCCUCUAUGGCCGCAAAUGCAGGUCACCUUUGUGCUGGGCCGAAGUGGGGGACACGCAACUAGCAAAAGGACAAGCAACUGACAACACGCUCACUGGACCAGAAAUCAUAAGGGAGACUACGGAGAAGAUUGUUCAAAUCCGAGAACGUCUAAAAGCAUCAAGAGAUAGACAAAAGAGUUACGCAGAUAAGAGACGCAAACCCUUGGAAUUCCAAGUUGGAGACCAUGUCCUACUCAAAGUCUCACCUUGGAAAGGAUUAAUACGCUUCGGAAAACGUGGGAAACUGAACCCAAGAUACAUCGGACCAUUCGAGAUCCUUGCCAGGAUCGGUCCCGUGGCUUACAAACUUAGAUUACCUCAGGAGCUCCACAACGUACACCCUACCUUUCACGUAUCAAACCUAAAAAAGUGCUUAUCCGAUGAGACCCUUGUCAUCCCUCUAGACGAAAUUGCAAUAAAUGAAAAUCUCCAGUUCGUAGAAGAACCAGUAGAGGUCAUGGAUCGGGAAAUAAAAAGGACUAAACAAAGCCGCAUACCUAUUGUAAAGGUCCGCUGGAACGCCAAGCGAGGACCUGAAUACACCUGGGAACGCGAGGAUCAGAUGAAACAAAAGUACCCGCAUCUUUUUCCUAACUUGUAAACUCUAUCCUAGAUUAAAUUUCUGGAUGAAAUUCCCUUAACAGGGGGAUGAUGUGACAACCCUAUAUUUUCCAAAAGUAGUGUAACGCUCAAGAGUCAAAUACAACGAAAUUAACCUAAAAAAUAAAAGCGUUUAAUUAUCUAAGUUGGGAUGCAUCAAAUAUUAGAUAUCAUGCCAAGGUUUCCAAAAACGUAAAGAACGCUCAAAACCGGGUUAUAUUGAAGAAAUUAUAACCACUCGUAUAAUUACGACACGCCGUUAAAAUGUUAUUUAACGUAAAAAGUGAAAUCUCAAUAAAAUGCAUUUUAGCCUUAAGUAUCUAAACAAAAGUCGUAGACCUCGUUAAAAGGUGAGCGUGCAUAAAAAGAUCGCCCAAAUUGGACUUCGUAUGAAGAAGUUACGAAUUUCCUAAGUUUUGUAACAGUAGUAGAGGGCUAAAAACUCAAAUUGAAGAUUGAGUGUUAUUUAGCUAUCGCCACCUAAACGAAAUUUGAAGAUCUCCACAAUAGUAAUAAGACGAUAAAAAGACAAAUGAAAACCGACGUCGAAUAAAGAACCUAUGAAUUUUUAACGGACAUUAGUAGUCCCGUCCUAUUAACGAAAUAUCAUUAAAAAUAAAGUCAAAACUAGCCGACGGAAAGUUGUAGAGCAUAAUCUCACCUUCGCGUGGAUAUAAAGAACGCGAAAAACGGAGCCCGUACGCAAAAGUUACGGAAUUUAGAAGAUGGAAGACUGGAUUACCCCCGCGUAAUCCAAGAGUACGCCCCGCAUACUAGGCCCAGUGUCAAGUCCCAUCGGCUCGAGUGCUCUACGCUAGAUAGACCGGAGUCGUAAGCCGUGACGCAUUUUUACCCCCCGCGUAACCGAAGUACGCCCCGCGUAUUGAGUACGCCCAGCGUACUCUGGUAUUACGCCCCGCGUACGAGGAGUUUCCAGCCUAUAAAUAGAGAGGUUGAGCUUCGGGUUUUUUGCACACCAUUCUCAUAUUCCCUCUCACUUUUACACAACCUAGAGCUCCAAAGACCAUCCCGACACCUCGGUUUCCGUACCUGAGCCCCCGACGAAGGAUCUACGCUGCAGAGAUCCCCGAAGAGCCGAAGACGCAACUUUCCGCGGUCGAAAUUCUGCUAAACUCUAGGUUCUCUCUCUUCAAACCAAACGAGUGAGUUCAUACCCAUACUUUUCAAUUCUUGUCAUGUUUUAGGGGGGAAAUACAAGUACAUUACAAGUCAAAGUAUCAUUUUAUAAACAUAAAUGUAAUAUCUAUCUUUGAAUAUCGAUAUAAACAUCUUUAUGUAUGAAGAGCUAUUAUAUCACCAAGUUAUUUUCACCAAAUGGAACAUACUAUCUGAAAAACUAUAAUGGGUAUAGUUAACGAGUCAAUCGUACAUUUUACAUAUACAUCUUGAAAAACGAAACACUUUCAAAAGAAGUAAGGUCAUUCUUAUUGUAAAUCUAUUUAUACUAAGCGAUGUGAGAUAUUCAAACUUCAACGUACAUUUAUGUAUGCAUUUCAAGUCAUGUAUUAUAUACCAUAAUAUCUUGGAGGGAGAGCGUGAUACUUGUGUAUAGAUCUAUACGGGAUUGACAACCCCGCACCUAAACUACUAGCUAUAGUUAGACCGGCAGGUUUGGGGUGACAAAUGUCAUAACACUACAACACCUGAAGAAUGUUGUUACAGGCCGUCAGUGUCAAUAGCAUGGUUAUAAAACUCACAUAAAAAGUAUAAAAACAAGUUUGAUUUACGAGAUUCAUAUAUGCAUUACAGUUUUCUACAUUAUUUUUCAUACAAAGUUAUCUUUAUCACUCAAGUACGAAAAAUACUAACACAUUCCAACUCUGGAAAGUUUUCGAGUCAUUUAUAGAAAAUGUUGGAUUUUCUGAAAACCUCGUUUACCGAUUUGCUACCAAAACUGAUAUACUUUUCAACUCAAAACACUCAUGAACUCACCAACUUAAUUGUUGACACUUUUUCAAAACCACUUGUAU